RNAcentral lists this transfer RNA (76 nucleotides) under Limibacillus halophilus. Its description in RNAcentral is "tRNA-Thr". It matches the Rfam family "tRNA". From Rfam's summary of the family: Transfer RNA (tRNA) molecules are approximately 80 nucleotides in length. Their secondary structure includes four short double-helical elements and three loops (D, anti-codon, and T loops). Further hydrogen bonds mediate the characteristic L-shaped molecular structure. tRNAs have two regions of fundamental functional importance: the anti-codon, which is responsible for specific mRNA codon recognition, and the 3' end, to which the tRNAs corresponding amino acid is attached (by aminoacyl-tRNA synthetases). tRNAs cope with the degeneracy of the genetic code in two manners: having more than one tRNA (with a specific anti-codon) for a particular amino acid; and 'wobble' base-pairing, i.e. permitting non-standard base-pairing at the 3rd anti-codon position. The record is from RNAcentral. RNAcentral also lists the same sequence under 1 other name. Lineage: Bacteria; Pseudomonadati; Pseudomonadota; Alphaproteobacteria; Rhodospirillales; Rhodovibrionaceae.
GCCGACGUAGCUCAAAUGGUAGAGCAACCGCCUUGUAAGCGGUAGGUUGCAGGUUCAAGUCCUGCCGUCGGCACCA